Molecule: long non-coding RNA, 145 nt
Organism: Hippocampus zosterae (dwarf seahorse)
Lineage: Eukaryota; Metazoa; Chordata; Actinopteri; Syngnathiformes; Syngnathidae
Exons: 2
Source: RefSeq, a predicted model, not a curated record
GCUACAUGUACAGCACUUUGUAUACAGCGGUGGUUGUUUUAAACAUGGGGUGCCCAUUACGUCCAUCCUGAUCUACCGGUAGAUCUGAAAGGCAUUGUGGGUAGAUCAGGUCGACCAUACGCCCUGACAGUUUUUUUUUUUUAAA